UCCGGAGUCCCCGAUGGCGAGGGACGCCAGCCUUUCGAGCUGGAAGUCGAGGGUUCAAUUCCCUUCGGA
RNAcentral lists this transfer RNA (69 nucleotides) under Halorientalis regularis. RNAcentral describes it as "tRNA_Glu_TTC". It matches the Rfam family "tRNA". Rfam says of the family: Transfer RNA (tRNA) molecules are approximately 80 nucleotides in length. Their secondary structure includes four short double-helical elements and three loops (D, anti-codon, and T loops). The record is from RNAcentral. Lineage: Archaea; Methanobacteriati; Methanobacteriota; Halobacteria; Halobacteriales; Haloarculaceae.